Molecule: ribosomal RNA, 492 nt
Filed under: uncultured bacterium
Lineage: Bacteria
Description: bacterial SSU rRNA
Rfam family: Bacterial small subunit ribosomal RNA
Source: RNAcentral
CGCCGGCAACGGUGAAACUCAAAGGAAUUGACGGGGGCCCGCACAAGCGGAGGAACAUGUGGUUUAAUUCGAUGAUACGCGAGGAACCUUACCCGGGCUUAAAUUGCAUUUGAAUAAUCUGGAAACAGGUUAGCCGCAAGGCAGAUGCGAAGGUGCUGCAUGGUUGUCGUCAGCUCGUGCCGUGAGGUGUCGGCUUAAGUGCCAUAACGAGCGCAACCCUUGUCUAUAGUUACUAACAGGUCAUGCUGAGGACUCUAUGGAGACUGCCAUCGUAAGAUGUGAGGAAGGUGGGGAUGACGUCAAAUCAGCACGGCCCUUACGUCCGGGGCUACACACGUGUUACAAUGGGGGGUACAGAGGGCCGCUACCACGCAAGUGGAUGCCAAUCCCGAAAACCCCUCUCAGUUCGGACUGGAGUCUGCAACCCGACUCCACGAAGCUGGAUUCGCUAGUAAUCGCGCAUCAGCCACGGCGCGGUGAAUACGUUCCCGG